UUCGCAAUUACAUUACCAGUUCUCUUUUACUACUUAGUACUACAUUAUUAGUAUUUAUCAGUGCUUGCUUACGAAACAACGAUGUUACCGUAUCCCGGUAGAUUGAGCGUAUUUUGUUUCUGCACUUCUUCCUCCUUCGCAUUCAUCCUGUUUCUUCAGUUGAUUCCGAUUCAUAGUCGCUUCAAUGUGUAUGAAAAUAUACUUUGGGUCUUCCGCUGUACUACCUCAUCUUGAACUUAGUGCUGAUGAUUUUUCUGAGAGGCUUUGCGCUUCAAAUUGCAAUUCGAGCUUCUUUCUUGGGCAUGAUAUUUGCAGCGGGCAUUUUUAUACAGCUCCUUGCUGCAUCAACUCUUCAACCAUUCGGAUGAUACUCCCAGCCACAGCCUGUUGUUCACGUUGACGAUUUAAGGUUUCUAUCCCAAAAUCAGUUCGAAGAGGUUCAACUCAGUUCAAUCAUACCUACUGGGAUGUGCAAAAAAAAGGUCAACAUGUCUUAAUUUUUUCAAUUUUUUAAGUUAAAAUGUUCAGGUUCAGGCAGUUGUUCACCAUGUUAAAAGAGAAAGAAAGGGAAUACAUUCUUAAGGUAUGGGCGUUUGCAAACAGGGAUCAGAGAUUCCCUUAUUUUAUCACAUCAUCAAAAGAUUGUGAAAAAAUAAGAUAUUGUGGGCUAAUUGAAAGUCUCUAUACUUCUUACUUAGUUUAAAAACAGCCGGUUGAAACUGACAUCUCACCUGCUAGUCAGUGGAUAUGGAAACAAAUGUAUAGCAGUGGUCAUUUGGCUUUAAAAAAUUAACUUUAC
Molecule: long non-coding RNA, 799 nt
Filed under: Bemisia tabaci
Lineage: Eukaryota; Metazoa; Arthropoda; Insecta; Hemiptera; Aleyrodidae
Description: lncRNA ENSSSA2NGG002347
Source: RNAcentral